UGAGUUUUUGGACGUUGAUUAACCCAUUCGUGCCAAAACUUUUCUAGCGAAUGAAAUUGCCUGAAAAUUCACAGAUACUAUUAUUUUGACCUAAAUAACGACUGAAAAAAAUUUCAUUGAAAUCCGUUUGAUACAGACUGCAUACACAAAUUAUAGUGUAU
This is a long non-coding RNA of Octopus sinensis (East Asian common octopus), 161 nucleotides long. RefSeq lists it as uncharacterized. The record is from RefSeq and is a predicted model, not a curated record. Lineage: Eukaryota; Metazoa; Mollusca; Cephalopoda; Octopoda; Octopodidae. The transcript is spliced from 3 exons.